UAGUCCUAACCUUAAAAUCAAUUUUUACUUAAUUUACACAUGCAAGUAUCCGCACCCCUGUGAGAACGCCCUCAUUUUCCUUAUAGGAAUAAGGAGCUGGUAUCAGGCACAACUUUUAGCCCAAGACACCUAGUUCAGCCACACCCACAAGGGUAAUCAGCAGUGAUUAAUAUUGAGAAUAAGCGGCAGCUUGACUCAGUUAAAGUAAAUUGGGCCGGCAAAUCUGGUGCCAGCCGCCGCGGUUAUACCAUGAAGCCCUAAUUGAUUCUUUCGGCGUAAAGCGUGAUUAAAGUGUUAGAAAAUUAUAGUUACACUAGAAUUAAACUGUAAUACGCUUAUUCCUAGGAAACUCAAAACCGAAAGUUACUAUAACAAACUCAACUUGAACUCACGACAGCUAAGACACAAACUGGAAUUAGAUACUCCACUAUGCUUAGCCGUAAACUUUAAAUUACAAAUUCAUCGCCAGGGGACUACAAGCCAAGCUUAAAACCCAAAGGACUUGACGGUACCCCACAUCCACCUAGAGGAGCCUGUCCUACAAUCGAUAACCCCCGCUUUACCUUACCAUUUUUAGCCAUUCAACCUGUAUACCUCCGUCGUCAGCUUACCCCGUGAGUGACCUUUAGUGGGCUUAAUGUUCCCCCCAUCAAUACGUCAGGUCAAGGUGCAGUAAAUAAAAUGGAAAGAGAUGGGCUACACUCUCUACCUUAGAGAAUACGAAAAACUACUGAUGAAAUUAGUCAGAAGGCGGAUUUAGAAGUAAAAAGAGAUCAUAGAGCUCCUUUUAACAUGGCACUGGGGUGUGUACAUACCGCCCGUCACCCUCUUCAAAACUAGAAAUAGUACUUAACACAAAAUAGUUACCUAGAAGAGGCAAGUCGUAACAUGGUAAGUAUACCGGAAGGUGUGCUUGGAAA
RNAcentral lists this non-coding RNA (920 nucleotides) under Ecnomiohyla veraguensis. RNAcentral describes it as "partial 12S ribosomal RNA". It matches the Rfam family "Bacterial small subunit ribosomal RNA". The record is from RNAcentral. Lineage: Eukaryota; Metazoa; Chordata; Amphibia; Anura; Hylidae.